RNAcentral lists this ribosomal RNA (577 nucleotides) under Acidimicrobiales bacterium. RNAcentral describes it as "bacterial SSU rRNA". It matches the Rfam family "Bacterial small subunit ribosomal RNA", at positions 1 to 648 of the family's 1533-position model. The record is from RNAcentral. Lineage: Bacteria; Bacillati; Actinomycetota; Acidimicrobiia; Acidimicrobiales.
GAAUCGAUGAGUUUGAUCCUGGCUCAGAAUGAACGCUAGCGAAAAGCUUAACACAUGCAAGUCGAAUGCUUUUUUAAGCAUGGCGAACGGGUGAGUAACGCGUAAGAACCUACCAAAAAAUUCUUGGAGAUCAGGAAUAAAGAAAGAUAUGUGUAUCGUUUUUUGAUGGGCUUGCGUAAGAUUAGAUUGUUGGUGGGGAAAUGGCCCACCAAGUCGAUGAUCUUUUACUGGUCUUAGCGGAUGGCCAGUCACACUGGGACUGAGAUACGGCCCAGACUCUCUUUGGAGGCAGCAGUGAGGAAUCUUGGACAAUGGGCGCAAGCUUGAUCCAGCUAUUUCGCGUGGGUGAUGAAGGUUAUUUGGAUCGUAAAACCCUUUCAUGGAGAUGAUUAAAUAAUGCCUUAUCUUCAAAAAGAAGCUCCGGCAAAUUCUGUGCCAGCAGCCGCGGUAAGACAGGAGGAGCAAGUGUUAUUCAGAAUUAUUGGGCGUAAAGGGCAUGUAGGUGGAUAUUUGUUGUUGAUUGUGCCAUUCCAAUUGUUAGCAUUGGGUUUGCAAUCAAUACACUUUAUCUUGAGAU